GUGUGUGGAGCUAGUGCGUGCACACAGGGCACUCGACCGGCCUCUCUCCAGUGCGAGGUGAUGCUGGCCCCCUGGGUCUAUCCCGUUGCAAAGUGCUGCCCUUCCAAACAAGACUGCCUCAGUCUGCAGCCAAACCUUCGCCUGGGGAUCCGGGGAGAGCUGGGAGGACUGCGCGUGUGCCUGGGUGGGCGGCCGUGUCGUCACAAUGGGCUGCGCCUCGACGGACCAAUAAGAAACCUCGGAGGACCGGAAGGAGUUCGGUCCUCCUGCCAAUCAGAGCCCCCCCAUUGUUUGAAUGCGGAAGUUGGGCCAUGAGCUUCUGAAGUUGCUACUGCCCCUCUCUCUCUGAAUGAAGAUUGAGCUUCAGCCCAGACUGCAGCUUCCCCCUUUCUCCGUCCAACAUCUGUGAGUGCAGCACCCUCCCCUCCUUUUCUCAUUUCUGGGAUCAAACUAUUGACUUGCAGCAGCUGAUCAGGGAAAGGAGGUGAAUCCAAACUCUGGAAAAGUUUGGCCACGACCUCCUUCUUUUAAAGACAUCCUUUACUCCCUCGGUUUGACACUUUUAUUUGUUUGACUCAAAGGAUGGCCUCUCUUUACUAAUGGAAGUGGUGGUUUGGCAGGAAAUAGCUGACAUUCAUGUGGUGAGCAGAUGACAUGGAGCAGAGGGUGACCGAAACUGUGCACAGUACUCCCAAGUGCGGCCUGUAACCUAAUGUGCCAACUCAACGGAUAUUCAGAGGGAGCUGGAGAGAAAUCAUUGGAAGAUCCGAAAUGGAGUGCCGUUUUGCUGAGAGCUGAGAUGGAAGUUCGACAGAGAGUAACUGCCAUCGAGAAAGACUGCCA
Chiloscyllium plagiosum (whitespotted bambooshark) is the source of this 843-nucleotide non-coding RNA. NCBI's taxonomy places the organism in Eukaryota, Metazoa, Chordata, Chondrichthyes, Orectolobiformes, Hemiscylliidae. The record is from RefSeq and is a predicted model, not a curated record.